GAGUUUGAUCAUGGCUCAGAUUGAACGCUGGCGGCAGGCCUAACACAUGCAAGUCGAACGGUAACGGGAAGCAGCUUGCUGCUUCGCUGACGAGUGGCGGACGGGUGAGUAAUGUCUGGGAAACUGCCUGAUGGAGGGGGAUAACUACUGGAAACGGUAGCUAAUACCGCAUAACGUCGCAAGACCAAAGAGGGGGACCUUCGGGUCUCUUGCCAUCGGAUGUGCCCAGAUGGGAUUAGCUAGUAGGUGGGGUAACGGCUCACCUAGGCGACGAUCCCUAGCUGGUCUGAGAGGAUGACCAGCCACACUGGAACUGAGACACGGUCCAGACUCCUACGGGAGGCAGCAGUGGGGGAAUAUUGCACAAUGGGCGCAAGCCUGAUGCAGCCAUGCCACGUGUAUGAAGAAGGCC
Molecule: ribosomal RNA, 412 nt
Filed under: uncultured bacterium
Lineage: Bacteria
Description: bacterial SSU rRNA
Rfam family: Bacterial small subunit ribosomal RNA
Source: RNAcentral